UUGCUCCCGUUGGCAGCGCAUAUUCUAAAAUUGGAAUAAGACAGAGAUUAGCAUGACCCCCGCACAAGGAUGACGGUAAAUGCAAUAGUCUGGCUGUCUGUAC
Molecule: small nuclear RNA, 103 nt
Organism: Ursus maritimus (polar bear)
Lineage: Eukaryota; Metazoa; Chordata; Mammalia; Carnivora; Ursidae
Source: Ensembl